This 492-nucleotide ribosomal RNA is filed under the name uncultured bacterium. Its description in RNAcentral is "partial 16S ribosomal RNA". It matches the Rfam family "Bacterial small subunit ribosomal RNA", at positions 29 to 507 of the family's 1533-position model. The record is from RNAcentral.
AGUGAACGCUGGCGGUAGGCCUAACACAUGCAAGUCGAACGGCAGCACAGUAAGAGCUUGCUCUUACGGGUGGCGAGUGGCGGACGGGUGAGGAAUACAUCGGAAUCUACUUUUUCGUGGGGGAUAACGUAGGGAAACUUACGCUAAUACCGCAUACGACCUACGGGUGAAAGCAGUGGAUCUUCGGACCUUGCGCGAUUGAAUGAGCCGAUGUCGGAUUAGCUAGUUGGCGGGGUAAAGGCCCACCAAGGCGACGAUCCGUAGCUGGUCUGAGAGGAUGAUCGGCCACACUGGAACGGAGACACGGUCCAGACUCCUACGGGAGGCAGCAGUGGGGAAUAUUGCACAAUGGGCGAAAGCCUGACGGAGCAAUGCCGCGGGAGUGAUGAAGGCCUUCGGAUCGUAAAACUCUUUUAUUGGGAAAGAAAAAAUGUGGAAGUAACCCUGCACGUCUUGACGGUACCUAAAAAGAAAGCCCCGGCUAACUACGUG